RNAcentral lists this ribosomal RNA (270 nucleotides) under uncultured archaeon. Its description in RNAcentral is "partial 16S ribosomal RNA". It matches the Rfam family "Archaeal small subunit ribosomal RNA", at positions 477 to 747 of the family's 1478-position model. The record is from RNAcentral.
CAGCACCUCAAGUGGUCAGGAUGAUUAUUGGGCCUAAAGCAUCCGUAGCCGGCGCUGUAAGUUUUCGGUUAAAUCUGUACGCUCAACGUACAGGCUGCCGGGAAUACUGCAGCGCUAGGGAGUGGGAGAGGUAGACGGUACUCGGUAGGAAGGGGUAAAAUCCUUUGAUCUAUUAAUGACCACCUGUGGCGAAGGCGGUCUACCAGAACACGUCCGACGGUGAGGGAUGAAAGCUGGGGGAGCAAACCGGAUUAGAUACCCGAGUAGUCC